Molecule: ribosomal RNA, 253 nt
Filed under: uncultured bacterium
Lineage: Bacteria
Description: partial 16S ribosomal RNA
Rfam family: Bacterial small subunit ribosomal RNA
Source: RNAcentral
UACGAAGGGGGCUAGCGUUGCUCGGAAUUACUGGGCGUAAAGGGCGCGUAGGCGGUCAGUUUAGUCAGAGGUGAAAUCCCCGGGCUCAACCUGGGAACUGCAUCCAAAACUGGCAAGCUAGAGUAUGGUAGAGGGUGGUGGAAUUUCCUGUGUAGCGGUGAAAUGCGUAGAUAUAGGAAGGAACACCAGUGGCGAAGGCGGCCUUCUGGGUCCGCACUGACGCUGAGGCGCGAAAGCGUGGGGAGCGAACGGG